GUCUCCUUCGUCUAGCGGUUAGGACAUCGCCCUCUCACGGCGGCAACAUGGGUUCGAUUCCCAUAGGAGACGCCA
RNAcentral lists this transfer RNA (75 nucleotides) under Holosporales bacterium. RNAcentral's name for it is "tRNA-Glu". It matches the Rfam family "tRNA". Rfam says of the family: Transfer RNA (tRNA) molecules are approximately 80 nucleotides in length. Their secondary structure includes four short double-helical elements and three loops (D, anti-codon, and T loops). Lineage: Bacteria; Pseudomonadati; Pseudomonadota; Alphaproteobacteria; Holosporales. The record is from RNAcentral.